ACUUGAUUCUUUUUAGAAUCAAAAUAUUCCUUGCUAUCCCCUUGAGAAUAGGGCUGGUUAGUUAAGUGGGACGAAUUUUUUUUUUUAAACAAAGAACUGCUAAUAAGCAAACAAGGGACCCUAUACCGAAAUAAAAAUUAUUUGGCCACAAACUCUCUAUCAACACAAUUAAAGAACUUUCCCCCAAACUUACUUGGAAAUAGAAUUCAACAGAGGCCCUGAAUUAAGGGACACAACUUCCCUUUUUUCUUGAUGCUUGGAUUCAGCAAGUAAUAUAAUAUCCUAACACAGAACUUCCUCCAAGAGUUCACAAAGAAUCUUUCUGGUUAACAUGAGACCUGAUGAAGUGACCAACUGAGUGUCUGCAAGGCUCCCAACCUUCCUUCUUCCUUUGAGUCAUACCCUUACACUCUCUUCAUCUCCUCCACCCUCUUAGGGGGCUUCUCCCUUUUAAGCUACGCAGACUAAGAUGCUAACUAAAUGAUUAUGUUACACAGAUGGGUUAAAAGUAUAUGCUUUUAAGACCCCACUGAAUGCUUCUGCAAAAGCUAUUUUAUAUACCAGUGUCAGAAAAACAGAAACUGUUCCAAUUGCUUCACUAAAUACCUUUAAGUGGCCUCAUAAAUGUAAUUUAGAAAUAAAGGUCAGCUAGAUGGAAAAGCAAUGCUGUUGGCCUGGAGUCAGGAAGACCCUUUAUAGACCUCACCAGUCACUUUAACCAUCUGUGUCUGCCUCAGAAUUUUCUUAACUUAUGGGCAUCAAUGGUAGAUUUGUCAACAGUUCUUCAUGGUAUCUGUUUCAUAGCAGGUAAUAGGAAAGGGUCGGCUAUUUAACAUUAAAGUUUUUUCAAGGGAUCGAUACAGUUUUGUAGAGAAGUAAAAUAAAAGGGGAAAAUAAAUCACCUCUUGCUAUUGCCAUCCCACUAGUUGUCAUGUUUUAAAAAUAUAAGGAAAGAAAGGACUUUCCUGGAUUUUAAAAAAAAAAAAAAUCCUCCUUUAGGUUAAAAUCAGAAAAUUAUCUUCAUUUGAUCUAAUUGUAAAGCAUGGUGCUAUUAUGUGACUAAAUGAUAAAGUGAACCAAGAACAACAAUUACUUCUAAAGAUUUAAUUAUGCAGCCAACAAUGGAACCCACAACCCAUCCUCUGUUUUUAGGGGUGCCUGCACUGUUUUUUUCCAAGGCCGGGGGCUUCGAGCAGACUGAAGUUUCCUUGAGUAAUUUCAUCUGCUCCAUAGAGAUCACUUUAAGUGAAAAUGGACUUAAUUUUCAUUGAUCAAGAUUUCACUAACAAAGAGUGAGAUUUCCUCUCCUAAAUGGAAAAGGAAAUUCUGGCAGCCAGUUAGUUUUCCCUUCGCCAGUUUGGACAUUCUCUGGGCCUUGAACUUGAAGCAUUUGAAAGGGGGGCCUAGGUCAGCUGCACACAAGAUGUGCACACAAGACUUACUAGGAAGGGGCCAACAACUGCCAUAUUUGACACCUUUCCAAAAAAGGAAAAAACUUCAGGUUUGGUGAAGAUUUCAAGUCCCAAUAUCUUUACUACUGAGGGACAGGCAGGUGCUGGCCAGCUAGGACAGAGGUAGGUGCUGGUCAGCUAGAGGGGAACAGAGGCAGAUGUUGACCAGUUAGGGGGGACAGAGGCAGUGCUGACCAGCUAGGACAGAAGUAGGUGUUGGUCAGUUAGAGGGGAACAGAGGCAGGUGCGGACCAGUUAGGGGGACAGAGGUAGGUGCUGGUCAGCUAGAAGGUAACAGAGGCAGGUGCUGGUCAGCUAAAGGGGAACAGAGGCAGGUGCUGACCAGUUAGGGGGACAGAGGUAGGUGCUGGUCAGCUAAAGGGGAACAGAGGCAGAUGCUGGUCAGCUAAAGGGGAACAGUCACUGCUGACCAGUUAGGGGGACAAAGGCAGGUGCUGGUCAGCUAGAAGGGAACAGAGGUAGUGCUGAUCAGUUAGGGGUGGGCAGAGGCAGUGCUGACCAAUUAGGGGGGACAGAAGCAGUGACCACCAGUUGGGGGGACAGAGGCAGUGCUGACCAGGUAGGGAGGACAGAGGCAGUGCUGACCAGUUAGAAGGGACAGAGGCAGUGCUGAUCAGUUAGGGAGGACAGAGGCAGUGCUGAUCAGUUAGGGGGACAGAGGCAGUGCUGACCAGUUAGGGGGACAGAGGCAGUGCUGACCAGUUAGGGAGGACAGAGGCAGUGCUGAUCAGUUAGGGGGACAGAGGCAGUGCUGACCAGUUAGAAGGGACAGAGGCAGUGCUGAUCAGUUAGGGAGGACAGAGGCAGUGCUGAUCAGUUAGGGGGACAGAGGCAGUGCUGACCAGUUAGGGGGACAGAAGCAGUGCUGACCAAUUAGGGGGGACAGAAGCAGUGACCACCAGUAGGGAGGACAGAGGCAGU
Antechinus flavipes (yellow-footed antechinus) is the source of this 2393-nucleotide long non-coding RNA. RefSeq lists it as uncharacterized. The record is from RefSeq and is a predicted model, not a curated record. The transcript is spliced from 3 exons. Lineage: Eukaryota; Metazoa; Chordata; Mammalia; Dasyuromorphia; Dasyuridae.